UACAGAGGUCCCAAGCGUUGUUCGGAUUCACUGGGCGUAAAGGGUGCGUAGGCGGUCGGGUAAGUUUGAUGUGAAAUCUCACAGCUUAACUGUGAAACUGCAUUGGAUACUAUCCGGCUCGAGGAAUGGAGGGGAGACUGGAAUACUUGGUGUAGCAGUGAAAUGCGUAGAUAUCAAGUGGAACACCAGUGGCGAAGGCGAGUCUCUGGACAUUUCCUGACGCUGAGGCACGAAAGCCAGGGGAGCAAACGGG
RNAcentral lists this ribosomal RNA (253 nucleotides) under uncultured bacterium. RNAcentral describes it as "partial 16S ribosomal RNA". It matches the Rfam family "Bacterial small subunit ribosomal RNA", at positions 524 to 776 of the family's 1533-position model. The record is from RNAcentral.